UAACAAGGAUUCCCCUAGUAACUGCGAGUGAAGCGGGAAAAGCUCAAAUUUAAAAUCUGGCGGUCUUUGGCUGUCCGAGUUGUAAUCUAGAGAAGCGUCUUCCGCGCUGGACCGUGUAUAAGUUCUUUGGAAUAAGACAUCAUUGAGGGUGAGAAUCCCGUCUUUGACACGGACUACCAGUGCUUUGUGAUGCGCUCUCAAAGAGUCGAGUUGUUUGGGAAUGCAGCUCAAAAUGGGUGGUAAAUUCCAUCUAAAGCUAAAUAUUGGCGAGAGACCGAUAGCGAACAAGUACCGUGAGGGAAAGAUGAAAAGCACUUUGGAAAGAGAGUUAAACAGUACGUGAAAUUGCUGAAAGGGAAACGCUUGAAGUCAGUCGCGUUGUUCAGAACUCAGCCUGGCUUCCGCUUGGUGUAUUUUCUGUUUAACGGGCCAGCAUCAAUUUUGACCAUUGGAAAAAGGCUGGAGGAAUGUGGCAUCUUCGGGUGUGUUAUAGCCUCUGGUUGCAUACAAUGGUUGGGAUUGAGGAUCUCAGCAUGCCUUUUGGCCGGGGUUCGCCCACGUUCAUGCUUAGGAUGCUGGCGUAAUGGCUUUAAACGAC
This 598-nucleotide ribosomal RNA is filed under the name Hyphoderma sp. KUC20121102-21. Its description in RNAcentral is "eukaryotic LSU rRNA". It matches the Rfam family "Eukaryotic large subunit ribosomal RNA", at positions 66 to 648 of the family's 3401-position model. Lineage: Eukaryota; Fungi; Basidiomycota; Agaricomycetes; Polyporales; Hyphodermataceae. The record is from RNAcentral.